UCCAUUUUUAAUUGGGUUAUUUGGAUUGUU
RNAcentral lists this non-coding RNA (30 nucleotides) under Mus musculus (house mouse). Lineage: Eukaryota; Metazoa; Chordata; Mammalia; Rodentia; Muridae. The record is from RNAcentral.